UCGGGUCCUGGGAUCGUUUCGGGUCCUGGGAUCAUCUCGGGUCCUGGGAUCAUUUCGGGUCCUGGGAUCAUUUCGGCUCCUGGGAUCAUUUCGGCUCCUGGGAUCAUUUCGGGUCCUGUACACAAUUCACUAGAGGGCAAGCUGUAGUCGCCAUCUUGGAACUUAGAAUUUCACAUCUACGAUUUAUGUAUUUGUGCAAAAUUAAGGCCUAAUUGGCGAUUUUAUUGCUCCAUAGCUUUACUUCUUGCAAAUUAUAGUGGAAAGUCGUGCUCACUUGGAUUAAUUACGCCACAUUUUGUUAUCUUUUUACAUUUGCAACGCGUAUAGACCCGUAGCUCAAGAAGGAACAUGUGCUGACUACUUUAGUCAGUUAGAGACAGCUUCAAUACCUAAUCUUGAUGUGAUCUGAAUACAAAAGAAUGAACUAAAGUUAUUUAACUAAAUUGCUUAAUCUAUUAAAGUUAUCUGAGUCAAUUAUGGAAACUAACUACUGUACUAAAUCGCUAUGGUGUUAUGAAUAAGCUUUUUCCCCGCUAGAGUUUUAUGCUUCCUUUAGAUAAGUUUUGUUUUCAUCCUUGAGUACCUUUAUCCCUCAUUGAAUGUCAUUAUAUUUUUAUGGAACAAUUUCAAUAAACAACUAGAGAAUUGUGUUGUCUUUGUAGUGUUGUUGACCUUGAUCCUUGAUCUUGAUACAUUCUUUUUUUAUAAGAACAACGUCUGCAUUUUAGAGCGCAUCAGGACUUAAAAAGUAAUAUUUUUCUGAUAUCUUAGCCUCGGCAUGUUCUUAGCAUGUUCUUAAAAUUUUAUGAAAUCUAAUGCAGGACGUUUUUAUAAAAAAGUUUUUUUUUUUUUAAAAAGAGUACUAAUAAUGUCUGGAAAUUCUAUAGCUCUCUCAUUUGACUUCAAAAUUUGUUCGUUAAAUGAUAGCAUAAAUAGAUAUUGUUGUUUACUUAGCACUUGGGUGUAAAGGCCCAUUUACACGGCACGAUUUUGGCCUACGACUUGUAGUAUACGACUUCAAGUCCCGCCGUGUAAAUGCCCCUACGACUUGCUUACGACUGUCGCACGCGACUCACGACUUGUAGUAGGGUUUUGAGCAAUGCAUCAAAAUCCUACGACUAGCCGUAGGAAAAUUUAGUUUUUGCACCAAUCAAAUUGCGAGUUUAUCCAUUCGAGAGAACGAGGCUCGAAUAGUGAAGAUGGCGGGUUCGAAUCACAAACUAGUUCAUCCUUUAAUGACAAACGACAAGUUUAAACAGCAAUCUAUGUUUUCUAAGACAAUGUAUUAUUCAACUACGAUCGUUGGAGUUCUACCACGAGAAACGUACUGGCGAAAACUAUUGACGUUGCUCUGUUAUCGUGACAAUCAUUCCGUCAACACAUGUCGACAAGGCUGGUACGGAUAUCAAUAAUUACUGACUCAUUACUGGUUGAGAUUUGAAUCAAUCGCUACUGGUAGGCUUUAUUUAUUUUAACAGAAAUUAGCGGCACUGAUUCAAGAUACUUAGGUUGCAAUGUUGAUUGAAAUUUAGCCUUCACGUGAAUUGUUGACUCGGAUGGUUUAUACACGAGUUGAUCGUUUUAUUGUUAUCGUUAAGUAUCAGGACGCUGUGUUUUAUACAAAGAUGAAGAUUGUGUAAAUAGUAUUGUUGAAAAAGCAGGGAUCAAAUACUGAGUAAAUAAAUUAUUAAAUUUGUUUGAGGGCAUAAAGUGUAAGUCCUUGUAUAUUUUUCACGUUUCCAUGGAAAUGUUAUUUUCCCGCCAUCUUUUGAGCGUUUUUGCUUUCCACUGUCAAACAUAGCGGAUUUGAAGAAAAAAAAGCUACAAAUUACAGACGAGGAGACAGAAAAACUAAUCGAGCUUUGGUCAAAAAAGGAAGUUCUAUUUAAUUGUUCGCACCCAGAUCAUUUUAAGAAAGAUUCAAGGGCAACAGCGCUAGCUGAUAUUGUUGAGAAAGCUGACAUUCCCGGACUGACAGCAGAGGAACUCGAAAAGUAGUUGGCAGGUCUACGAACCUAUUACGGGAGGGAAAUUGGUAAAGAAAGAAUGACAAAGGUAUCAGGCACGGGAACAAAGGAUGUCUUGUCUAUGUCUCUAAGUGGCCGUCCUUCACCUCCCUGCACUUCCUGAGGGAUAAUAUAACACCAAGAAAGACUACAAGUAGCCUAGAAGCGACAACAUCAGCUACAACAAGUACUGUGCGAGUUGAUGCAAUCAGUAUCGAGGAUGACAUGAAGGAGGAAGUUGAUGAAAACGUAAGGUCUGUCAACAAUAUUACUUGUCAAAAAUCCUCUAGAAAACUAGAGGAUGAGUUGUUAGAAGCAUGCAUUAAUGAAUUGAAAAAAACCCAAGCAAACUUCUACAUCCUCUGAAGAUGAUGGAGAUUUUUAAUAAAUAUAUUGCCAAGCAGCUAAAGAAAAUCCCAGAAGGCUACCGAAAGGAAACGCUAAAACUUGAACUGCAGCAGUGCAUCAUGAAAGCAAUGAUGCCUGCACCAGUAGCCAGACAGCCAAUUGCAACGAUUGAUUUUUCUGAUUUAGAAUAGAUUUUGGUUAUAUCAUUUUAUUUUGGGUCUUUGGGGGCUCGCUUUUUGGAUAAUGGGCGCUUAUUUGGGAAGGGAAGCAAUUUAAAGGAGGGUACUUAUUUGAAUCAUUGUGGUAUUCAUUGUUCUUUGCUUAGCUAUUGCAUAAACUUUGACUUUCUUAUUUUGUUCAAUUACACUUGUAAAUGCCACAUGUUCUUUGCAUGGUGCAUCACUCAUCACAAUGAUGAGGUAGAAACAAUUACAGUUAAAUAAACACAGUUGUAAAUUGAAAUCAAAGAAAUAGUAAUUGACUACUACUUGUAACAAUCACUGGACCGCAAACAAUUGAUGAAAUAAAAGGUAAUACAC
This is a long non-coding RNA of Nematostella vectensis (starlet sea anemone), 2893 nucleotides long. RefSeq lists it as uncharacterized. Lineage: Eukaryota; Metazoa; Cnidaria; Anthozoa; Actiniaria; Edwardsiidae. The transcript has 2 exons. The record is from RefSeq and is a predicted model, not a curated record.